UACAGAGGUCUCAAGCGUUGUUCGGAUUCAUUGGGCGUAAAGGGUGCGUAGGUGGCGGGGUAAGUCAGGUGUGAAAUCUCGGGGCUCAACCCCGAAACUGCACUUGAUACUGCCUUGCUCGAGUACUGGAGAGGAGACUGGAAUUUACGGUGUAGCGGUGAAAUGCGUAGAUAUCGUAAGGAAGACCAGUGGCGAAGGCGGGUCUCUGGACAGUUCCUGACGCUGAGGCACGAAGGUCAGGGGAGCAAACGGG
Molecule: ribosomal RNA, 253 nt
Filed under: uncultured bacterium
Lineage: Bacteria
Description: partial 16S ribosomal RNA
Rfam family: Bacterial small subunit ribosomal RNA
Source: RNAcentral